Molecule: ribosomal RNA, 604 nt
Filed under: Umbelopsis sp. 1-NN-2017
Lineage: Eukaryota; Fungi; Mucoromycota; Umbelopsidomycetes; Umbelopsidales; Umbelopsidaceae
Description: eukaryotic LSU rRNA
Rfam family: 5.8S ribosomal RNA (bases 241-394)
Source: RNAcentral
UAGAGGAAGUAAAAGUCGUAACAAGGUUUCCGUAGGUGAACCUGCGGAAGGAUCAUUACUGAAGUGAGUCUUCAUUCAUUGAAGCUUCUUCCCAUUGUGCUGGCUUUGACCGUAUGUAAAGUUGGGGAUUAAACAUGGUUCAAAAUUUAUUUUGUGGCCGUCCCCAACAAUUUAUCUCAUCCUUUAUAAAUUUGAACUGAACUCAUUUUGAGAUUACUUAAAAAAAUAAUCUUAUUAUACAACUUUCAACAACGGAUCUCUUGGUUCUCGCAUCGAUGAAGAACGCAGCGAAAUGCGAUACGUAAUGUGAAUUGCAGAAUUCAGUGAAUCAUCGAAUCUUUGAACGCACAUUGCACUCUAUGGUAUUCCGUAGAGUAUGCCUGUUUCAGUAUCAUGAACACCUCACUACUAUAACUUUAUUGUUAUGAUAGUGGAUUUGGAAUGCGCUGGUGUUAGUCAGCCCUUCUAAAAUGGAGUUCUUGCACUGUUGAUUUGUUUUAACAGCAAUGUUGGCCUAAUAAGUUUCAGCAGCAAUGUUGAAAUCACUGGCUUUUUUUGCUUAGAAUCGGACAGUCUUGAUAUACAGAAUUUUUGAGGUGACUUU